AAGGAUAAAAUAUAUUAAAAAAUUAUUACAUCCAUAAAGAUUUUUCUAGAUUUGGGAAAGUAAUGUUGUCAGCUUCAUUAUUUCCAAACUCCAUUUUAGGAGAUAAUUUUUUUUAAAAAAGUAUUACGGAUUUAAUUGGAAAAAAUAAUAGUAGCUGAAAGGUUUAAGAUUUUAUUUUUCAAACUUUGUUUCAUCGAAGUAUUCCGACUUGUUUAUUGUUGGUUCUUCGAAUCAAUCCAAGUUUUUUAUCAUCACGUUUGUAUAAAUCUUUAAAAAUAAUCUCCAUUUAUGUAGGUUCGUAGCUGAUUUUGCAGUCUCCGUAAGGUCUGGUAGCAAAGUAAUUAUAUGCAAGAGUUUUGAUCUUUCAAUUGCCCUUUGAAUUUGUACAGUGAUCACAUAGCCUCAUAUGCACUUCCACUGGGUACCACAUAAGCUUCAUAAUUCUUGCCUUACCUGCAGGUUUUCUGUAAGGAAAGUGGACCGCCAUUAGUGAACAGCAGAGCAGCAUAUGAAGUCAACUACAGUGAUCUUGAAAGAGUUUGUAAAUGACUGGAAGAUAGUGAGGAGCAACAUGGCUUUAAAAUUGUCAAGAUAUGUUGCAAGAAUCUAUUCUAGGCUUUAUCUCGAAUAUGAAUGGGUGAUGUUUCUUUUCUGGGAAACUGGCUGAAGGAUGUUAUGAAGAGGUCUGAUAUAUGUGGUUUACUUUGGGCUCAUAUUAGUAAGUGGGGUUUCAUUGUGGUUAAGAAAAGGUUGAAGCCUCCUACUAUCACAAUUCCUCCAUUGAAGGUUAUUAAAUGAGUUUGGACAAAUGUUAAUUGUCCUGUUUCAAGAAAUAGUAUUAUGCAUAUCUGUUUUAUUGCAGGUCAUAGUUUCUGGUAUAUGUCCGAAAAUAAAUCGUCCCAUCUGCUGAAGCUUAUAAUUUCAUAAUAUAGUGAAAAUGACAAUGCUUCAUGUAUGUUACAAUUGAGCAGCAAGUUCAAAAAUUUGGGUAAAGCGAAACUUCUGGUGCACCGACUGAUCAUCAGUUGGAUUAGUCCAUAACAUUGAGGCAUUUCAAGUAUUGCACACGGUAUAGGAAUCUGUCACAUAAUACAUAUGGAUAUUGUAUAUGAUGACAUAUGGUUCAGUGAGGAGGUUGCAUCAUAAUCAAAAUUCAAAAUUUGACUGUAGCGAUGCCAAUAUACUAUUAAAGUAAAAGAUUUAUAAUAAACAAUGUAUUUUAUUCUUUGUAAGAUGUUAUUGAUAAUGUUCAGUUCGUUUUCUUUCU
Molecule: long non-coding RNA, 1267 nt
Organism: Capsicum annuum
Lineage: Eukaryota; Viridiplantae; Streptophyta; Magnoliopsida; Solanales; Solanaceae
Exons: 7
Source: RefSeq, a predicted model, not a curated record